RNAcentral lists this ribosomal RNA (251 nucleotides) under uncultured bacterium. Its description in RNAcentral is "partial 16S ribosomal RNA". It matches the Rfam family "Bacterial small subunit ribosomal RNA", at positions 524 to 773 of the family's 1533-position model. The record is from RNAcentral.
UACGUAGGGUGCAAGCGUUGCCCGGAUUUAUUGGGCGUAAAGGGCGCGUAGGCGGCUCGGCACGUCCGUUGUGAAAUCGCCCGGCUCAACUGGGCGGGGUCAGCGGAUACGGUCGAGCUUGAGCAAGCUAGGGGGCAAUGGAAUUCCCGGUGUAGUGGUGGAAUGCGUAGAUAUCGGGAGGAACACCAGUGGCGAAGGCGGCUUUCUGGGCCUUACCUGACGCUGAGACGGCGAAAGCGUGGGGAGCGAAC